This 242-nucleotide ribosomal RNA is filed under the name uncultured bacterium. Its description in RNAcentral is "partial 16S ribosomal RNA". It matches the Rfam family "Bacterial small subunit ribosomal RNA", at positions 118 to 351 of the family's 1533-position model. The record is from RNAcentral.
UGAGUAACCUGCCCUUCACUCUGGGAUAACUCCGGGAAACCGGGGCUAAUACUGGAUAUGACUCGAACAGGCAUCUGUUUCGGGUGGAAAGAUUUUAUUGGUGGAGGAUGGACUCGCGGCCUAUCAGCUUGUUGGUGGGUCAUGGCUCACCAAGGCGACGACGGGUANCUGGUCUGAGAGGACGACCAGCCACACUGGAACUGACGACGACCCGGCCCAGUACCCUACCGGUACGGGGACGG